AUUUAUGUGGCCAGUUGCGGUCAAGGCUGACUGUUGCCUGAAGAAGAGGUAA
Enterobacter cloacae S611 is the source of this 52-nucleotide non-coding RNA. NCBI's taxonomy places the organism in Bacteria, Pseudomonadati, Pseudomonadota, Gammaproteobacteria, Enterobacterales, Enterobacteriaceae. The record is from Rfam.